GCCUGGGUGGCUCAGUUGGUUAAGCAUCAGACUUUGGUUCGGGUUAUGAUCUCAUUGUUUGUGGGUUCAAGCCCCAUGUCAGGCU
This 85-nucleotide transfer RNA is filed under the name Felis catus (domestic cat). It matches the Rfam family "tRNA". Rfam says of the family: Transfer RNA (tRNA) molecules are approximately 80 nucleotides in length. Lineage: Eukaryota; Metazoa; Chordata; Mammalia; Carnivora; Felidae. The record is from Rfam by way of RNAcentral.